Molecule: ribosomal RNA, 506 nt
Filed under: uncultured bacterium
Lineage: Bacteria
Description: partial 16S ribosomal RNA
Rfam family: Bacterial small subunit ribosomal RNA
Source: RNAcentral
AUUGAACGCUAACGGCAUGCUUAACACAUGCAAGUCGAACGGCAGCACAGCAGUAGCAAUACUGUGGGUGGCGAGUGGCGGACGGGUGAGCAAUGUAUAGGAAUCUGCCUUGUAGUGGGGGAUAACCUGGGGAAACUCGGGCUAAUACCGCAUAAUCUUUACGAAGCAAAGCGGGGGAUCGUAAGACCUUGCGCUAUAAGAUGGGCCUAUAUUGGAUUAGCUAGUUGGUGGGGUAAAGGCCUACCAAGGCGACGAUCCAUAGCUGGUCUGAGAGGAUGAUCAGCCACACUGGGACUGAGACACGGCCCAGACUCCUACGGGAGGCAGCAGUGGGGAAUAUUGGACAAUGGGGGAAACCCUGAUCCAGCAAUGCCGUGUGUGUGAAGAAGGCCUUCGGGUUGUAAAGCACUUUUAGUGGGAAAGAAAAGCUCAAAGCUAAUAACUUUGAGCCUUGACGUUACCCACAGAAAAAGCACUGGCUAACUCUGUGCCAGCAGCCGCGGUAA